CGCUCGACAUCAGAGUUUGAUCCUGGCUCAGGACGAACGCUGGCGGCGUGCUUAACACAUGCAAGUCGAACGAGAAUUUGGCGGAACUCUCUUUCGGGAGAAGGAAGUUGAAGGAAAGUGGCGAACGGGUGAGUAACACGUGAGCAACCUACCUUACACAAAGGGAUAGCCACUGGAAACGGUGAUUAAUACCCUAUGAUACUUAAAAUUCACAUGAAUUUUAAGUCAAAGCGAUUUAGCGGUGCAAGAUGGUCUCGCGUCCCAUUAGCUAGUUGGUAAGGUAAAAGCUUACCAAGGCUACGAUGGGUAGCCGGCCUGAGAGGGUGACCGGCCACACUGGAACUGAGACACGGUCCAG
This 358-nucleotide ribosomal RNA is filed under the name uncultured bacterium. RNAcentral's name for it is "bacterial SSU rRNA". It matches the Rfam family "Bacterial small subunit ribosomal RNA", at positions 1 to 334 of the family's 1533-position model. The record is from RNAcentral.